This is a long non-coding RNA of Numida meleagris (helmeted guineafowl), 1087 nucleotides long. RefSeq lists it as uncharacterized. Lineage: Eukaryota; Metazoa; Chordata; Aves; Galliformes; Numididae. The record is from RefSeq and is a predicted model, not a curated record. The transcript has 2 exons.
UGGCCGUGCUCGGGCGGCCCUGCCCGCCGCCGCCUGCCGCGGGGGAAAGGGAUUUCUUAAACUCAGCUAAUUACCGUGGCUACUUCAUUGUACGCUUCAUCAUUUAUAACUGGAUAUUUUCUGCCCUGGAGCGUUCGUACAAUUUGCUGCCCAGUAACAUAGCGACUUGCACUUCUCUUGGGGUCAGGAUCACACAUAUUCACCGACGCUUGUUUGGAUAGAAGAGGUUGCAGAUUUUACAAAACUGGCACACAUUCCAGCUUGCUAAAAAUCACCUGGCAAUUCAACUGGCUACAGCAGUCUUCCUUUGCCGUCCCAGCUCCGGAACCCCAGCUGCGAGGCCCCGGCUUUUCUGCCACUGAAGGCGAUGGGAGCUUUGCCCUGGGCUGCAGUGACAGCAAGAGGAGAGCAGAUGGCGAUAAAGCAGGGCGUUGGACGGAACCAUGUGAUACAUGAUACUAAAAACGAGGUUAUGCAGUCUGAACUCUUGAGCUAGACAUAUCCAGCACAGCUACAUACUGACUGUACAUGUAAGAAAGUACAUCUGCAUUACUUCUUCUGGCAAGCAUCGAGAGAAUGUUAGUGAAAUGUGCCUGGAUUCGGGAGCUUAGGAGAGAGCUAUGCUGGGAAUGCUCCCGCAGCUGUUACUUGGAAAACAUCUGUGGUUCCGUGCAUGGAAAUUUGUACAUCUCUGGUCACGCUGGCACAGAGCAAUCAAUCUUGUGGAAUCAAGUAUAAAUUAUUGGUGGUAAAUAGGGGAAGGACGUUAUGCACCAACGAACUUGAAGUGAAUAAAGGUGCAGCAGUAGUCUGACAGAGGGAAGAAAAUACAGGUUGAUGUGAUUUGUUAUUUACAGUUAAUGGUUAUCUCUAUGCAAAGUAUAAAAGACAUUGCCCUGAACAAUUCAAUUCUAGCCAGAGACAUACAAGGGGGUAUGCUUAAGAAUCCCUCUGGAAGGACUAUAACAGAGUGCCUCCUAGCAGGUCAUUUAACUCAACAGCUUUCUGGCAGUACAGUCAGAAAGGUGACUGCUCUUUCUUCUUGGCUUAACUCUUAAUGACUAAUUAAAAUUCCAUUUAAGCAGAA